CUUUUGUUAUUCUUUCAUCUCUUUCAUCCCAAUCCUAUUAUCAAUCCUGUUCAAUUUUUGGAGAAUGGCUAAUGCGUUUGAUAAUGGUUAAUUUUUGUGUUUGUAUUUGAAUUUGAAAGGGCUGCACUAUAUAUGCGAUUGUGACGAAGCAACAUUCUGUAUGUCUUACAUCAUAAAUUCAGUGAGAGCGAGGUGUACAAGAUGUCAUACUUUUUUGUAGCUCCUAACUCUGGUGCGCGUAGAGCUACAUCUCAUGGUUACAAGUUGAUUAUUCAAUCGAAGAUUCAUGUUCUGAGGUUAUGA
RNAcentral lists this long non-coding RNA (303 nucleotides) under Medicago truncatula (barrel medic). Its description in RNAcentral is "lncRNA gene39935". Lineage: Eukaryota; Viridiplantae; Streptophyta; Magnoliopsida; Fabales; Fabaceae. The record is from RNAcentral.